AUUUGAAAUCUGGCGCAAGCCCGAGUUGUAAUUUGUAGAGGAUGCUUCUGGGUAGCGGCCGGUCUAAGUUCCUUGGAACAGGACGUCAUAGAGGGUGAGAAUCCCGUAUGUGACUGGCUUGCACCCUCCACGUAGCUCCUUCGACGAGUCGAGUUGUUUGGGAAUGCAGCUCUAAAUGGGAGGUAAAUUUCUUCUAAAGCUAAAUACCGGCCAGAGACCGAUAGCGCACAAGUAGAGUGAUCGAAAGAUGAAAAGCACUUUGGAAAGAGAGUUAAAAAGCACGUGAAAUUGUUGAAAGGGAAGCGCCCGCAACCAGACUUUGCGGCAGUGUUCGGCCGGUCUUCUGACCGGUUUACUCGCUGUCGUGAGGCCAUCAUCGUCUGGGACCGCUGGAUAAGACCUUAGGAAUGUGGCUCCCCUCGGGGAGUGUUAUAGCCUCUGGUGAUGCAGCGCGUCUCGGGCGAGGUCCGCGCUUCGGCAAGGAUGAUGGCGUAAUGGUUGUCGGCGGCCCGUCUUGAAACACGGACCAAGGAGUCUAACAUCUAUGCGAGUGUUCGGGUGUCAAACCCCUACGCGUAAUGAAAGUGAACGGAGGUGGGAACUUUUUGUGCACCAUCGACCGAUCCUGAUGUCCUCGGAUGGAUUUGAGUAAGAGCAUAGCUGUUGGGACCCGAAAGAUGGUGAACUAUGCCUGAAUAGGGUGAAGCCAGAGGAAACUCUGGGUGGAGGCUCGCAGCGGUUCUGACGUGCAAAUCGAUCGUCAAAUUUGGGUAUAGGGGGCGAAAGACUAAUCGAACCAUCUUAGUAGCUGGUUCCUGCCCAAAGUUUCCCUCAAGGAUAGCAGUAACGGUUUUCAGUUUUUUUGAGG
This 868-nucleotide ribosomal RNA is filed under the name Pseudocercospora macadamiae. RNAcentral's name for it is "eukaryotic LSU rRNA". It matches the Rfam family "Eukaryotic large subunit ribosomal RNA", at positions 113 to 1008 of the family's 3401-position model. The record is from RNAcentral. Lineage: Eukaryota; Fungi; Ascomycota; Dothideomycetes; Mycosphaerellales; Mycosphaerellaceae.